AACGAACGCUGGCGGCAUGCCUAACACAUGCAAGUCGAACGAAGCCCCGUCUUCGGAUGGGUGCUUAGUGGCGCACGGGUGCGUAACACGUGGGAAUCUGCCCUUAGGUACGGAAUAACUCAGGGAAACUUGAGCUAAUACCGUAUGAUGACUUCGGUCCAAAGAUUUAUCGCCUAGGGAUGAGCCCGCGUCGGAUUAGCUAGUUGGUGGGGUAAAAGCCUACCAAGGCGACGAUCCGUAGCUGGUCUGAGAGGAUGAUCAGCCACACUGGGACUGAGACACGGCCCAGACUCCUACGGGAGGCAGCAGUGGGGAAUAUUGGACAAUGGGCGAAAGCCUGAUCCAGCAAUGCCGCGUGAGUGAAG
This 365-nucleotide ribosomal RNA is filed under the name uncultured bacterium. RNAcentral describes it as "bacterial SSU rRNA". It matches the Rfam family "Bacterial small subunit ribosomal RNA", at positions 29 to 410 of the family's 1533-position model. The record is from RNAcentral.